CGGAAUGUGAGGCCGCCUCAGUUGGCGGCCUCUUUUCCUUCACGGGUUGCCUUGUCUCGAUAGUCUUCUAGUUUCUGGAUCGCAUUCGCCGCCAGCACGCCGCGGCGCGCAAGGCGGAGGUUCAAAUCCUCUCGCUCCGACCA
Molecule: transfer RNA, 143 nt
Filed under: Bradyrhizobium sp. 6(2017)
Lineage: Bacteria; Pseudomonadati; Pseudomonadota; Alphaproteobacteria; Hyphomicrobiales; Nitrobacteraceae
Description: tRNA-OTHER
Source: RNAcentral